GAUGAAGAACGCAGCGAAAUGCGAUAAGUAAUGUGAAUUGCAGAAUUCAGUGAAUCAUCGAAUCUUUGAACGCACAUUGCGCCCGCCAGUAUUCUGGCGGGCAUGCCUGUUCGAGCGUCAUUACAACCCUCAGGCCCCCGGGUCUGGCGUUGGGGAUCGGCGGAGCCCCCCGUGGGCACACGCCGUCCCCCAAAUACAGUGGCGGUCCCGCCGCAGCUUCCAUCGCGUAGUAGCUAACACCUCGCGACUGGAGAGCGGCGCGGCCACGCCGUAAAACACCCAACUCUUCUGAAGUUGACCUCGAAUCAGGUAGGAAUACCCGCUGAACUUAAGCAUAUCAAUAAGCGGAGGA
RNAcentral lists this unclassified non-coding RNA (352 nucleotides) under soil metagenome. RNAcentral's name for it is "partial contains 5.8S ribosomal RNA, internal transcribed spacer 2, and large subunit ribosomal RNA". The stretch from base 1 to 120 matches the Rfam family "5.8S ribosomal RNA", at positions 35 to 154 of the family's 154-position model. The record is from RNAcentral.